GACGAACGCUGGCGGCGUGCUUAACACAUGCAAGUCGAACGGAAAGGCCCUGCUUUUGUGGGGUUCUCGAGUGGCGAACGGGUGAGUAACACGUGUGUAACCUGCCCUUGUCUUUGUGAUAUCUUCAGGAAACUGUGGCUAAUACCGUAUAGGAUCUCCUGCUGCAUGGUGGUUGUUGGUAAGUUUCGGCGGUUGGGGAUGGACUCGCGGCUUAUCAGCUUGUUUGUGGGGUAGUUGCUUACCAAGGCUUUGACGGGUAGCCGGCCUGUGAGGGUGACCGGGGACAUGGGGACUGAGAGAGGGAGCAGAAUCGAACGGGAGGCAGCAGGGGGGAAUAUGGCACAAUGGGGGGAAGCGAGAUGCAGAAAAGCCGCGUGCGGGAUGAAGGCCUUCGGGUGGUAAACAGAUUUCGAAUGUGACGAAGAGUGAGUGACGGUAAUGGGUAAAGAAGCACCGGCUAACUACGUG
RNAcentral lists this ribosomal RNA (468 nucleotides) under uncultured bacterium. RNAcentral's name for it is "partial 16S ribosomal RNA". It matches the Rfam family "Bacterial small subunit ribosomal RNA", at positions 28 to 507 of the family's 1533-position model. The record is from RNAcentral.